UCGAGAAUUUUUCUCAAUGGGCGAAAGCCUGAAGGAGCGACGCCGCGUGGGGGAUGAAGGGCUUCGGCUCGUAAACCCCUGUCAUUCGCGAACAAUUCCUCCAGCCUAACACGCUGGAGGUUGAUGGUAGCGGAAGAGGAAGGGACGGCUAACUCUGUGCCAGCAGCCGCGGUAAUACAGAGGUCCCAAGCGUUGUUCGGAUUCACUGGGCGUAAAGGGUAGCGUAGGCGGCAGGGAAAGUUUGAUGUGAAAGACUCCGGGCUUAACCCGGAAAUGGCAUUGAAUACUCUCCUGCUCGAGGAUUGGAAGGGAGACUGGAAUUCUCGGUGUAGCAGUGAAAUGCGUAGAUAUCGAGAGGAACACCAGUGGCGAAGGCGAGUCUCUGGACAAUUCCUGACGCUGAGGCACGAAAGCCAGGGUAGCAAACGGGAUUAGAUACCCCGGUAGUCCUGGCCCUAAACGGUGCGCAUUUGCUGUGAGCGGAUUCGACCCCGCUCGU
Molecule: ribosomal RNA, 499 nt
Filed under: uncultured Verrucomicrobiota bacterium
Lineage: Bacteria; Pseudomonadati; Verrucomicrobiota
Description: bacterial SSU rRNA
Rfam family: Bacterial small subunit ribosomal RNA
Source: RNAcentral